RNAcentral lists this transfer RNA (99 nucleotides) under Daldinia loculata. Its description in RNAcentral is "tRNA-Ser". It matches the Rfam family "tRNA". Rfam says of the family: Transfer RNA (tRNA) molecules are approximately 80 nucleotides in length. Their secondary structure includes four short double-helical elements and three loops (D, anti-codon, and T loops). The record is from RNAcentral. Lineage: Eukaryota; Fungi; Ascomycota; Sordariomycetes; Xylariales; Hypoxylaceae.
GGCGCUUUGGCGGAGUGGUUAACGCGAUGCCCUGCUAUAUUUUCGAUAUACCGGUAGGCAUUUCCUUCGGGAGCGCAGGUUCGAAUCCUGCAGGCGUCG